Salvelinus sp. IW2-2015 is the source of this 1228-nucleotide long non-coding RNA. RefSeq lists it as uncharacterized. NCBI's taxonomy places the organism in Eukaryota, Metazoa, Chordata, Actinopteri, Salmoniformes, Salmonidae. The record is from RefSeq and is a predicted model, not a curated record.
CAACUCAAGUACAGGACUUUGUAACAUCACAGUGAAUUGUUCAGGCUGGAAGUUUUCUGUCUGUGAUGGAGGUCAGUGCCCACUGUACCAGGAUUCUCUGUCAGUCUCUGAGGUCAACAUCACCGUCUCCAGUGGUAAUGGAUUCAUCCAGUGUAUCGUCAACAAUCACGUCAGUGCAGAGACCAAAUCACAACGCAUGGAGGACAUAUGUAUUGAUCAGAAGAAGGCGAUAGCUGCAGCAUCACCAGUUGGCACCAUUGUGGGUGGUGUUAGUGGUGGAUUGUUCUUCAUUGUGUUAGUUGGUGUAGGAUGGAUCAUGUCAACCAGAAGACGGUGUAAAUAAGAACUGACAAUGCAGUGAGCGCUCCACCAGGGGAGAGGCUGAACCACAGAACACAGUGGGUCCUGAGGUAACAUCAAUCUACGACCCUGCAGGGAGUCCAGGAGCAGCAGUACCAGCAUAAGCAGCAGGAGGAGAAGAGGGACACCCAGGGGACAAAGAGUACACUUCACCAGAACAGAGGAAAGAACCACAGUUCCCCCAACAGGCAUAGGCAUUUUACAGCACUGUGCAGCGAUCAGCGGUACAAGAUCGCCAUCAAGUGGACAAAGUGUGCGCUGCACCAGAAGAGAUGCCAGGACCACAGAGCCCUUCUGAGGCCGAGCCUAUACCAGUCUUCUACAGUCUUCUACAGCACCGUACAGAAACCAGCUGCAGCACAGCGCCACUCAAAGCGUGGAAUAACUUCAACAAACCAGACAGUGUAUUUCACAAUAGGAGAUACAUCCGUCUCAGAAACCCCCUGAUGUUACAUGUCUGUAGCUGGCAGCCUCCAUGCACUUACCACACAUUCUUUGUUUUGCUAAGUUCUGAGUAUUUUAUAUUGCUCUCUGUUAAUAUUUUGCUGUAUGUUCAUUAGCACAGUAUACAUGAUCCCAAUUUUAGCUUCAAGAUGCUGGCAAUUUGAAAAAGUAGAUUGUGCUGAUUUAUUGGCACAUUAAGCCAUGUCAUUUAAAAACUCAGUGGAUAUUGCUAAAACAAUGACGUCAUAUCUGAAUUCUGCCAUCUUUAUGCAUCUUCUCCAUUACCUGCACGGUGCAUUUCCAUUCAACUGACUUGAGACGUAAUUGGAAAAAAACAUUUUUAUUUUUUAUUUAACGAAAUAGAAUUUCAGUUUAGUUCCUGAAUUGGACCCAAUCAAUCAAUCAUUCAAUGAACCUUUCCAGC